UGAACUGGAAGGAUCAUGUCUAUGAGUUAUGCAAAAAAAUAUCCAAAGGUAUUGGCAUAUUAUUUAAACUUCGUGAUUUUGUUUCAAUUGAUAUACUCAUUCAAGUUUAUUACUCAGUAAUCUACCCAUUUCUUAUGUACGCUGUCUUGGUAUGGGGACAUACAUACAAAAGUAACUUGCACCCAUUAUUGAUCCUGAAAAAGAAGGC
This is a non-coding RNA of Paramuricea clavata, 208 nucleotides long. The record is from the annotation of a GenBank genome assembly. Lineage: Eukaryota; Metazoa; Cnidaria; Anthozoa; Malacalcyonacea; Plexauridae.